UGCAUCUGAAGCCUGACGAGGAUGAGAACCUCCGGGGGCAAGAGGUUCGACUCGAGCGCAGCGAGAGAACGUUGCGUCAGCAACGGCCCGCAGGGCGAGCC
Molecule: small RNA, 101 nt
Filed under: Salmonella enterica
Lineage: Bacteria; Pseudomonadati; Pseudomonadota; Gammaproteobacteria; Enterobacterales; Enterobacteriaceae
Also listed under: 1 other name
Description: partial RtT sRNA
Rfam family: RtT RNA
About the family: This family represents a bacterial cis-regulatory element known as RtT RNA. The exact function of RtT is unknown although it is thought that it may be involved in changing the cellular response in relation to amino acid starvation.
Source: RNAcentral